This 253-nucleotide ribosomal RNA is filed under the name uncultured bacterium. RNAcentral describes it as "partial 16S ribosomal RNA". It matches the Rfam family "Bacterial small subunit ribosomal RNA", at positions 524 to 776 of the family's 1533-position model. The record is from RNAcentral.
CACGUAGGGUCCGAGCGUCGUCCGGAAUUACUGGGCGUAAAGCGCGCGCAGGCGGUCUGGUCAGUCGAUGGUGAAAGCCCCACGCUCAACGUGGGAAGGUCCGUCGAGACGGCCAGACUGGAGGCAGGGAGAGGUCGGUGGAAUUCCGGGUGUAGUGGUGAAAUGCGUAGAGAUCCGGAGGAACACCAGAGGCGAAGGCGGCCGACUGGACCUGACCUGACGCUGAGGCGCGAAGGCGUGGGGAUCAAACAGG